GACGAACGCUGGCGGCGUGCCUAAUACAUGCAAGUUGAGCGCUGAAGGUUGGUACUUGUACCAACUGGAUGAGCAGCGAACGGGUGAGUAACGCGUGGGGAAUCUGCCUUUGAGCGGGGGACAACAUUUGGAAACGAAUGCUAAUACCGCAUAAAAACUUUAAACACAAGUUUUAAGUUUGAAAGAUGCAAUUGCAUCACUCAAAGAUGAUCCCGCGUUGUAUUAGCUAGUUGGUGAGGUAAAGGCUCACCAAGGCGAUGAUACAUAGCCGACCUGAGAGGGUGAUCGGCCCCAUUGGGACGGAGAAACGGCCCAAACUCCUACGGGAGGCAGCAGUAGGGAAUUUUCGGCAAUGGACGAAAGUCUGACCGAGCACCGCCGCGGGAGUGAAGAAGGUUUUCGGAUCGUAAAACUCUGUUGGUAGAGAAGAACGUGGGUGAGAGUGGAAAGCUCAUCAAGUGACGGUAACUACCCAGAAAGGAACGGCUACUUACGU
This 496-nucleotide ribosomal RNA is filed under the name uncultured bacterium. RNAcentral describes it as "partial 16S ribosomal RNA". It matches the Rfam family "Bacterial small subunit ribosomal RNA", at positions 28 to 506 of the family's 1533-position model. The record is from RNAcentral.